Molecule: long non-coding RNA, 223 nt
Filed under: Mytilus galloprovincialis (Mediterranean mussel)
Lineage: Eukaryota; Metazoa; Mollusca; Bivalvia; Mytilida; Mytilidae
Source: RNAcentral
UAAUUCAACUUUUAUUAACACUCUAGACAGUUUACACUGUAACAAGAGGCAGACAAAUAAUACAAGUAAUAAUUUACAAUGGUGAACAAGAUAGAAAGAAAUAUACAUACAUAGUUCAUUAUAUCUAAUUCUCUGUACACAAGUAUACACAUACAUAACACGUGAUAAUUAUUCAAAGCUAUAAUAAUGGGAGCUGAGAUAGCCAGUCGAUUACAUGUAAGUG